This 230-nucleotide ribosomal RNA is filed under the name uncultured bacterium. Its description in RNAcentral is "partial 16S ribosomal RNA". It matches the Rfam family "Bacterial small subunit ribosomal RNA", at positions 562 to 791 of the family's 1533-position model. The record is from RNAcentral.
AAAGCGUGCGCAGGCGGUUAUAUAAGACAGAUGUGAAAUCCCCGGGCUCAACCUGGGAAUGGCGAUGGUGACUGCAAGGCUAGAGUUUGGCAGAGGGGGGUAGAAUUCCACGUGUAGCAGUGAAAUGCGUAGAUAUGUGGAGGAACACCGAUGGCGAAGGCAGCCCCCUGGGUCAAAACUGACGCUCAUGCACGAAAGCGUGGGGAGCAAACAGGAUUAGAUACCCCUGU